GAUGAACGCUGGCGGCGUGCCUAAUACAUGCAAGUCGAGCGAACGGACGAGAAGCUUGCUUCUCUGAUGUUAGCGGCGGACGGGUGAGUAACACGUGGAUCACCUACCUAUAAGACUGGGAUAACUUCGGGAAACCGUAGCUAAUACCGGAUAAUAUUUUGAACCGCAUGGUUCAAAAGUGAAAGACGGUCUUGCUGUCACUUAUAGAUGGAUCCGCGCUGCAUUAGCUAGUUGGUAAGGUAACGGCUUACCAAGGCAACGAUGCAUAGCCGACCUGAGAGGGGGAUCGCCCACAUGGGAACUGAGACACGGUCCAGACUCCUACGGUAGGCAGCAGUAGGGAAUCUGCCGCAAUGGGCGAAAGCCUGACGGAGCAACGCCGCGUGAGUGAUGAAGGUCUUCGGAUCGGAAAACUCUGUUAUGAGGGAAGAACAUAUGUGUAAUUAACUGUGCACAGCUUGACGGUACCUAAUCAGAAAGCCACGGCUAACUACGUG
Molecule: ribosomal RNA, 497 nt
Filed under: uncultured bacterium
Lineage: Bacteria
Description: partial 16S ribosomal RNA
Rfam family: Bacterial small subunit ribosomal RNA
Source: RNAcentral